RNAcentral lists this ribosomal RNA (253 nucleotides) under uncultured bacterium. Its description in RNAcentral is "partial 16S ribosomal RNA". It matches the Rfam family "Bacterial small subunit ribosomal RNA", at positions 524 to 776 of the family's 1533-position model. The record is from RNAcentral.
UACGUAGGGGGCAAGCGUUGUCCGGAUUUAUUGGGCGUAAAGAGCGUGUAGGCGGCCAGGUAGGUCCGUUGUGAAAACUGGAGGCUUAACCUCCAGCUGUCGAUGGAAACCAUCUGGCUAGAGUCCGGAAGAGGAGAGUGGAAUUCCUGGUGUAGCGGUGAAAUGCGUAGAUAUCAGGAGGAACACCGGUGGCGAAGGCGGCUACCUGGACAGAGUCUGACGCUGAGGCACGAAGGCCAGGGGAGCAAACGGG